Molecule: transfer RNA, 96 nt
Filed under: Paracoccus acridae
Lineage: Bacteria; Pseudomonadati; Pseudomonadota; Alphaproteobacteria; Rhodobacterales; Paracoccaceae
Description: tRNA-Pro
Source: RNAcentral
CCGGCGGUGGCCUGGUUCGCCGUGGCCGCGGCCCUGGGCGCCGCCCUGCUGUGGCAUGUGGGCCACUGGGCCGAGGGGCGCCGCCGCGCCGCCACC